GGGGAGGUAGUUCAGUGGUAGAGCACAUGCUUGGCAUACACGAGGCCCUGGAUUCAAUCUCCAGCAUCCUGU
RNAcentral lists this transfer RNA (72 nucleotides) under Marmota marmota marmota (Alpine marmot). It matches the Rfam family "tRNA". Rfam says of the family: Transfer RNA (tRNA) molecules are approximately 80 nucleotides in length. Their secondary structure includes four short double-helical elements and three loops (D, anti-codon, and T loops). Further hydrogen bonds mediate the characteristic L-shaped molecular structure. tRNAs have two regions of fundamental functional importance: the anti-codon, which is responsible for specific mRNA codon recognition, and the 3' end, to which the tRNAs corresponding amino acid is attached (by aminoacyl-tRNA synthetases). tRNAs cope with the degeneracy of the genetic code in two manners: having more than one tRNA (with a specific anti-codon) for a particular amino acid; and 'wobble' base-pairing, i.e. permitting non-standard base-pairing at the 3rd anti-codon position. RNAcentral also lists the same sequence under 1 other name. Lineage: Eukaryota; Metazoa; Chordata; Mammalia; Rodentia; Sciuridae. The record is from Rfam by way of RNAcentral.